CGCGUAGGCGGGAAAGCAAGUCAGGUGUGAAAUCUAUGGGCUCAACCCAUAAACUGCACUUGAAACUGUUUUCUUGAGUGUCGGAGAGGUUGACGGAAUUCCUAGUGUAGCGGUGAAAUGCGUAGAUAUUAGGAGGAACACCAGUGGCGAAGGCGGUCAACUGGACGAUAACUGACGCUGAGGCGCGAAAGCGUGGGGAGCAAACA
Molecule: ribosomal RNA, 206 nt
Filed under: uncultured bacterium
Lineage: Bacteria
Description: partial 16S ribosomal RNA
Rfam family: Bacterial small subunit ribosomal RNA
Source: RNAcentral